GCCCCUUUAGCUCAGUUGGCUAGAGCAGCUGAUUUGUAAUCAGCAGGUCGCCUGUUCGAGUCAGGCAAGAGGCU
This 74-nucleotide transfer RNA is filed under the name Flavobacteriaceae bacterium. Its description in RNAcentral is "tRNA-Thr". It matches the Rfam family "tRNA". From Rfam's summary of the family: Transfer RNA (tRNA) molecules are approximately 80 nucleotides in length. Their secondary structure includes four short double-helical elements and three loops (D, anti-codon, and T loops). Lineage: Bacteria; Pseudomonadati; Bacteroidota; Flavobacteriia; Flavobacteriales; Flavobacteriaceae. The record is from RNAcentral.